CUAAGGCAAACCACUGCCUUAGUUGAAAUGAGUGCUGUCUCGUGCCCUCUGCUCCCCAUCCUUACAGAACAGAGCCUGUUGUGUGGAACCUGUUCAGGCUGGAGAUGGUGGAAAGGCUAAAGUUCAAGUUCACAGACCCAAAAUGUGUUUGAUGAAAAGAGCAAAUCAGAGAUCUCCCAAUUAUCCGUGUGGCUGCAGGGAACCAUAGCAGCGGUGUUACACAG
Molecule: long non-coding RNA, 224 nt
Organism: Empidonax traillii (willow flycatcher)
Lineage: Eukaryota; Metazoa; Chordata; Aves; Passeriformes; Tyrannidae
Exons: 4
Source: RefSeq, a predicted model, not a curated record